UUGAUUGUGAAUUGUUGUCUUCAGUGCUGGCCCCCGGCAAGUGCACGUUGGUGACUUUCAUCCAAUACCCCUGUGAACUUCUGACCUCUUGCUAGCUUCGGCUGGCAGAGGAUUUUUUACACACACUCGAAUGUAAUGAAACCUAUUGUUGUGCGCAAGCACUAAUGUA
This 169-nucleotide unclassified non-coding RNA is filed under the name uncultured Sebacina. RNAcentral's name for it is "sequence contains ITS1". Lineage: Eukaryota; Fungi; Basidiomycota; Agaricomycetes; Sebacinales; Sebacinaceae. The record is from RNAcentral.